AUUGAACGCUGGCGGCGUGCCUAACACAUGCAAGUCGAGCGGUAACAGGUGUAGCAAUACAUGCUGACGAGCGGCGAACGGGUGAGUAAUGCUUUGGAAUCUUCCCAGUAGUGGGGAAUAACCAGUCGAAAGAUUGGCUAAUACCGCAUACGUCUGUAAAGGGAAAGCGGGGGAUCGCAAGACCUCGCGCUAUUGGAUGAGCCAAAGUCGGAUUAGCUAGNGGUGGGUAAUGGCCUACCAAGGCGACAAUCCGUAGCUGGUCUGAGAGGACGACCAGCCACACCGGAACUGAGACACGGUCCGGACUCCUACGGGAGGCAGCAGUGGGAAUAUUGGACAAUGGGGGAAACCCUGAUCCAGCGACGCCGCGUGUGUGAAGAAGGCCUGC
RNAcentral lists this ribosomal RNA (388 nucleotides) under uncultured bacterium. RNAcentral's name for it is "bacterial SSU rRNA". It matches the Rfam family "Bacterial small subunit ribosomal RNA", at positions 30 to 419 of the family's 1533-position model. The record is from RNAcentral.